Ornithodoros turicata is the source of this 854-nucleotide long non-coding RNA. RefSeq lists it as uncharacterized. Lineage: Eukaryota; Metazoa; Arthropoda; Arachnida; Ixodida; Argasidae. The transcript is spliced from 3 exons. The record is from RefSeq and is a predicted model, not a curated record.
CCUCAUCGGCUGCCGACGACGUCACGCUGCGUCGUUUGUCCGUGAAUUGUGUGAUGCAAUCAACAAUAUGUCUCCAAUUUACCAACUCUGGUAUUCGUCUGUGUCGGGAAGGUGCAAAGAGAGGGCCGAAGCGUCGUCGAAGUCAAUGCUUGCAAUGUGCUGUGGUGCGUCUCGUGAUAAGAAUGAAAAGGCUAAUUCACCUGCCAGCGAGAUUGUCUGCUGCUGCUGCUAAUUGAUAACGCGACAGACCUGCGACAUUGUGUCUUUUCUGGACGAGUUUGUUCGAAACCAAUAGUCGGGUGUUUCACGGUAUACCGCAGUCUCUGCUUGAAUUCUGAGGAAGCUGCGUGUACAAAGUGGCUAUAGCCAAUGUACUUGCUGUGCAUCAGUGUGAAGUGCCUCAACGUCAGACUGACUCUGGUACAGAGGAUGUGUAUCGUCUGGGCAGCUCUCGUCAGGACUUCGGGCAGCGGACAAAGACGGCGCCGGCCCGCAAAACUGCUAGCGACAUUGAACUAGUGGGAGCAGAACUCCACGACUGGCACCACAUUGCGAAGCUGAAACUUGACUAUGCUGGCGGCUGCGGCUGGCAGGGUCGGGUCAUCCAGGGAGAAAACGCCUUCACCGUGUCGUACAGCGCCAGGGUACGGGCAAGGAUGCAUACUCCAUCUGGAACGUACUCAGGGAGCCUUUUAACUGCCACGUAAAGCGUUCUCGUUGUUUAAACGGGAAUCACGGGUACUUCAACAUCGUCCAGAACAAGUCGGCCAGUUUCGUCAAUAAUGUCUCGAGCUCGCAGGAUCUGGCUGUCUACUUCAGAACACAAUCCACCCUGGUGUGGGAUAGAAUGUAUA